GGCCAGACUCCUACGGGAGGCAGCAGUGAGGCCUCUUGGUCAAUGGGCUUCCGCCUGACCCCGCCAUGCCGCGUGCCGGUCAGUGCCCUCUGGGCGUUAACCUUCUUUUGUGCGGGCGCCCUAAUGGUCCCGUGUGGCCAGACGCGCGUACCGUACGCAUAAGCAUCGGCUACCUCCGUGCCAGCCGCCGCGGUAAUACGGGGGCUGCAAGCGUUAUCCGGAUUUAUUGGGUUUAAAGGGUGCGGAGGCUGUGAGGGAAGGCAGCGGUGAAAUGCCCCCGCUCAACGGGGUGAAGUGCCAUUGAUACUGCCUUGCUGGAAUGCGGAUGCCGUGGGAGGAAUGUGUGGUGUAGCGGUGAAAUGCAGAGAUAUCGCGCAGAACUCCGAUUGCGAAGGCAGCAUGCCGGCGCCACACUGACGCUGAGGCACGAAAGCGUGGGUAUCGAACAGGAUUAGAUACCCCAGUA
RNAcentral lists this ribosomal RNA (466 nucleotides) under uncultured bacterium. RNAcentral describes it as "bacterial SSU rRNA". It matches the Rfam family "Bacterial small subunit ribosomal RNA", at positions 329 to 792 of the family's 1533-position model. The record is from RNAcentral.